CCCUUAGAUGUUCUGGGCCGCACGCGCGCUACACUGGUGCAUUCAACGAGUUUCUUCCUGGUCCGAGAGGAAUGGGUAACCUUUUGAAAGUGCAUCGUGAUAGGGAUAGACUAUUGCAAUUAUUGGUCUUCAACGAGGAAUUCCUAGUAGACGUAGUUCAUCAGACUGCAUCGAUUACGUCCCUGCCCUUUGUACACACCGCCCGUCGCUCCUACCGAUUGAAUGAUCCGAUGAAUAUCAUGGAUUGAGGAUGCAAGUAGGUUCGCCUAUCUUCAUCUUCGAGAAGUGAAGUAAAUCUUAUCAUUUAGAGGAAGGAGAAGUCGUAACA
This 328-nucleotide ribosomal RNA is filed under the name uncultured eukaryote. RNAcentral's name for it is "partial 18S ribosomal RNA". It matches the Rfam family "Eukaryotic small subunit ribosomal RNA", at positions 1470 to 1796 of the family's 1831-position model. The record is from RNAcentral.